GCACCUUUAGCUCAGCAGGUAGUAGCGGUUGUUUUACAUACAACAGGUCACAGGUUCGAUCCCUGUAGGGUGCACGA
RNAcentral lists this transfer RNA (77 nucleotides) under Chitinophagia bacterium. RNAcentral describes it as "tRNA-Val". It matches the Rfam family "tRNA". Rfam says of the family: Transfer RNA (tRNA) molecules are approximately 80 nucleotides in length. The record is from RNAcentral. Lineage: Bacteria; Pseudomonadati; Bacteroidota; Chitinophagia.